This 420-nucleotide ribosomal RNA is filed under the name bacterium. RNAcentral's name for it is "partial 16S ribosomal RNA". It matches the Rfam family "Bacterial small subunit ribosomal RNA", at positions 355 to 776 of the family's 1533-position model. The record is from RNAcentral.
UGGGGGAUAUUGCACAAUGGGCGAAAGCCUGAUGCAGCGACGCCGCGUGGGGGAUGAAGGCUUUCGGGUUGUAAACCUCUUUCGCUAUCGAACAAGGCCCGCUUAGGGUGGGUUGAGGGUAGGUGGAGAAGAAGCGCCGGCUAACUACGUGCCAGCAGCCGCGGUAAUACGUAGGGCGCGAGCGUUGUCCGGAAUUAUUGGGCGUAAAGGGCUUCUAGGCGGCUUGUUGCGCCUGCUGUGAAAACGCGGGGCUUAACUUCGCGCGUGCAGUGGGUACGGGCAGGCUUGAGUGUGGUAGGGGUGACUGGAAUUCCAGGUGUAGCGGUGGAAUGCGCAGAUAUCUGGAGGAACACCGAUGGCGAAGGCAGGUCACUGGGCCAUUACUGACGCUGAGGAGCGAAAGCAUGGGUAGCGAACAGG